This 68-nucleotide transfer RNA is filed under the name Naupactus xanthographus (South American fruit tree weevil). RNAcentral describes it as "tRNA-Val". The record is from RNAcentral. Lineage: Eukaryota; Metazoa; Arthropoda; Insecta; Coleoptera; Curculionidae.
CAAAUUAGAGCUUGUCUAAAAGCAUUUUAUUUACAUUAAAAAGUUUUAUUGUUUUCAAUAUAAUUUGA